GCGGGUGUAGCUCAACGGUCAGAGCACCGGCCUCCAAAUCCGGCGGUUGCGGGUUCGAAUCCUGCCGCCCGUGC
This 74-nucleotide transfer RNA is filed under the name Saccharothrix algeriensis. Its description in RNAcentral is "tRNA-Trp". It matches the Rfam family "tRNA". Rfam says of the family: Transfer RNA (tRNA) molecules are approximately 80 nucleotides in length. Their secondary structure includes four short double-helical elements and three loops (D, anti-codon, and T loops). RNAcentral also lists the same sequence under 2 other names. The record is from RNAcentral. Lineage: Bacteria; Bacillati; Actinomycetota; Actinomycetes; Pseudonocardiales; Pseudonocardiaceae.